GAUGAACGCUGGCGGCGGGCUUAACACAUGCAAGUCGAACGGAAAGGCCCAAGCUUACUUGGGUACUCGAGUGGCGAACGGGUGAGUAACACGUGGGUGAUCAGUCCUGCACUUCGUGAUAAGCCUGGGAAACUGGGUGUAAUACCGGAUAGGACUACAUCUUGGUUGUUGUUGUGGAAAGCUUUUUCGUUGUGGGAUAAGCUUGCGGCCUAUCAGCUUGUUGGUGUGGUAAUGGCCGACCAAGGCGUCGGCAGGUAGCCGGCCAGCGUGGGUGUACAGCAUCAGUGGAAGUGAGAGACGACCCAGACACCGACGGGAGGCAGCUGUGGGGAAGAUGGCACAACGGGCGCACGCCUGCUCCAGUUGCGCCGCGUGGGGGAUGACGGCCUUCGGGUUGUAAGCGCCUUUCGCGAGGGACGAAGCGUUUUGUGACGGUACCUGGAGAAGAAGCCCCGGCUAACUACGUG
Molecule: ribosomal RNA, 467 nt
Filed under: uncultured bacterium
Lineage: Bacteria
Description: partial 16S ribosomal RNA
Rfam family: Bacterial small subunit ribosomal RNA
Source: RNAcentral